This 420-nucleotide long non-coding RNA is filed under the name Lathyrus oleraceus (garden pea). Its description in RNAcentral is "Pisum sativum (pea) long non-coding RNA (PSAT_LNC042329)". The record is from RNAcentral. Lineage: Eukaryota; Viridiplantae; Streptophyta; Magnoliopsida; Fabales; Fabaceae.
UCAACCUUACUCACAAAAUCGUUCUCUCCAACUCACGUCUCUCACAUCAUAACCCUCUCUCAAACGUGCGUUUUUCUUAAUCGCUUCCGAAUCAUAAAAGAAAUCAAUGGCUGAAGCAAAAAAAGCGCUCACCUCCGGCGGUAAAGACGGCAAUGAUGAAGCUUCAAACUCUUUCAACUCUUCAAACCAGGUUUAUCUUUGAUUCUCCGGUUUAGGGUUUUUUUCUGUUUGGUAUCUUUUAAUGCCGCCUCCGAUUUUUUCGAAUUGUAGCUUCCUCUCUCCUCACUAAUCCCUUCACUAUUUAUCCUCUACGAAUUAGGGUUUUCAGGAUGGCAUAUGGAGCUCAAAAGAGUAUCCUGCAAAACCCCCUUCUGGGUGGUCAGGGUUCGGUCGCCCUAAUCGAUGCUUGGGUUGGAACAG